RNAcentral lists this non-coding RNA (55 nucleotides) under Spodoptera frugiperda (fall armyworm). The record is from RNAcentral. Lineage: Eukaryota; Metazoa; Arthropoda; Insecta; Lepidoptera; Noctuidae.
UCCCAUUCACAUUUCGUCCGAUGAUCUUAUUGGAGCCAUUGUUGGGCUGAGGAGC